This 468-nucleotide ribosomal RNA is filed under the name uncultured bacterium. Its description in RNAcentral is "partial 16S ribosomal RNA". It matches the Rfam family "Bacterial small subunit ribosomal RNA", at positions 28 to 507 of the family's 1533-position model. The record is from RNAcentral.
GACGAACGCUGGCGGCGUGCUUAACACAUGCAAGUCGAACGGAAAGGCCCUGCUUUUGUUGGGUGCUCGAGUGGCGAACGGGUGAGUAACACGUGAGUAACCUGCCCUUGACUUUGGGAUAACUUCAGGAAACUUGGGCUAAUACCGGAUAGGAGCUCCUGCUGCAUUGUGGUGGUUGGAAAGUUUCGGCGGUUGUGGAUGGACUCGCGGCUUAUCAGCUUGUUGGUGGGGUAGUGGAUUACCAAGGCUUUGACGGGUAGCCGGCCUGAGAGGGUGACCGGCAACAUUGGGACUGAGAUACGGCACAGACUAGUAAGGGAGGCAGCAGUGGGGAAGAUUGCACGAUGGGCGGAAGCCUGAUGAAGCAAGGCCGCGUGAGGGAUGACGGACUUCGGGUUGUAAACCGCUUUCGCAUGUGACGAAGCGUGAGUGACGGUAAUGGGUAAAGAAGCACCGGCUAACUACGUG